GGAUGGGUGGUAGAGCGGUCGAAUACACCGGUCUUGAAAACCGGCAACGGGGCAACCCGUUCGUGGGUUCGAAUCCCACCCCAUCCGCCA
This 90-nucleotide transfer RNA is filed under the name Pseudomonadota bacterium. RNAcentral describes it as "tRNA-Ser". It matches the Rfam family "tRNA". Rfam says of the family: Transfer RNA (tRNA) molecules are approximately 80 nucleotides in length. Their secondary structure includes four short double-helical elements and three loops (D, anti-codon, and T loops). Further hydrogen bonds mediate the characteristic L-shaped molecular structure. tRNAs have two regions of fundamental functional importance: the anti-codon, which is responsible for specific mRNA codon recognition, and the 3' end, to which the tRNAs corresponding amino acid is attached (by aminoacyl-tRNA synthetases). tRNAs cope with the degeneracy of the genetic code in two manners: having more than one tRNA (with a specific anti-codon) for a particular amino acid; and 'wobble' base-pairing, i.e. permitting non-standard base-pairing at the 3rd anti-codon position. Lineage: Bacteria; Pseudomonadati; Pseudomonadota. The record is from RNAcentral.